UAUACAUUAAAAGUUUUUACCAUAUUAUAUUGUGUAUAAAUAUUGUGAACUAUAAAUUAAUCUAUUAAUUUGUAUUUCAUACUUCAUAAAAGGGAUUAGAUGUAAAACGUUGCCAGUGUAAAGAAUUUAUUUGUUUAAUCCGGGAUAUCAUUUUUGACAUAAAAUCCACAUUUUUGACUAAUGUGAUACUCAAUAACUCGAAAAACAUUCGACAACCAAUACAAUAAAUCUUAUAAUAUUGAAAAUCGAUAUGUGUUAAUACUACGUAUCUCUUUUUGGGCAAAGAACAGUCUGAAAGACAGACUACCAUCCUCUUCAUAGGUGAUCGAUCUGAGCCAUACAAUCAACUUACAGCCAAAAUCAAACCAUAGGCAGCUCGUUCAAUAGUAGGUCUUCUAUCGUUGGCAAGUCGACGUAAUUCUAGGAAAAAUCCUGUACCUUCAUAAAUAAACAGUAACAUCUGUAGCAAAAAAAUAUGGAGAGUCAAAUAGUUAAGAAAAAGCAAUUAGUUCUAUUUACUUUGAUUUGUGUCUUCAUUAUCAACAACAACUGUUAGAAAAAUAUUAAAAUAAAAAUAACUAUACAGAUAAUUUACGUAUUUUAAUAACUAUGUUGAGUGCUAUCAGCAGACUAAGGGCACACAAGCAAUGCUUCUUCUUAAUUAAUUAUAAAACAAGCCAUCAGAUUUAUUUCUACAAACAUUAAUAUAUUCAUAAUUACCUUGUAUAUCAAGCGUAGGAAUACCUGUAACAAAAAAAAAAUAAUUGUACAGUUAAUGAAACCCAGUUUUUUAUGUUAUCAACGUAUUUUAAUGACUAUGUUCAGCGCUGUCAGCAGACUGAGGACACACAAGCAAUACUUGUCACAAUACUAGAUUAAAAACAAUAUUUUUCGUUCCCCAGCAUUCACCUAAUUAUGGUUAUGCACCACACUUUUAUUAAUAGAAGUAUGAAAAUUUCUAAUAGUCUAAUAGAUAUUGAUUUAUUUAAUGAUUUUCUAUUCAAUUUAUUUAAAAAUUAAUUCGCUUAAUACUUUACAUUUAUUUAGU
Adelges cooleyi (spruce gall adelgid) is the source of this 1048-nucleotide long non-coding RNA. RefSeq lists it as uncharacterized. The record is from RefSeq and is a predicted model, not a curated record. The transcript has 4 exons. Lineage: Eukaryota; Metazoa; Arthropoda; Insecta; Hemiptera; Adelgidae.